UCGCCUGUUUUACAAAAACAUAGCCCAAAGAUUUAUUUUAGGUAAAUUCUGCCCAGCGUAAUUUAUUAGCGGCCGCAGUACUUUGACUGUGCUAAGGUAGCAUAAUCAAUUGGCUUUUAAUUGUAGUCUGGAAUGAAAGGACUAAUAGGGGUUAGCUGUCUCUAUACUAUUAUUUUGAAUUUAUUUAUUAAGUGAAAAUACUUAUACAAAGAAAAAAGACGAGAAGACCCUUAGAAUUUUAAUAAAAUAUUUAAUAAUUUUUUUUUGUUGGGGCGACAUUGAAACAAUUAAACUUUCAUUGACAAUCAAGACAUUUAGGUUUGAAAGAGUAAAUUACCUUAGGGAUAACAGCAUAAUUAAUUAUUUAGUUUGUGACCUCGAUGUUGGACUAGGAACUAGAAGAUUAACCGUCUAAAUAGAUGUCGU
RNAcentral lists this ribosomal RNA (426 nucleotides) under Pseudosuccinea columella. RNAcentral describes it as "partial 16S ribosomal RNA". The stretch from base 1 to 205 matches the Rfam family "Archaeal large subunit ribosomal RNA", at positions 1887 to 2143 of the family's 2987-position model. Lineage: Eukaryota; Metazoa; Mollusca; Gastropoda; Lymnaeidae. The record is from RNAcentral.